UUAAGUUAUUAAGGGCGCACGGUGGAUGCCUUGGCACUAGAAGCCGAUGAAGGACGUUACUAACGACGAUAUGCUUUGGGGAGCUGUAAGUAAGCUUUGAUCCAGAGAUUUCCGAAUGGGGAAACCCAACAUGAGUUAUGUCAUGUUAUCGAUAUGUGAAUACAUAGCAUAUCAGAAGGCACACCCGGAGAACUGAAACAUCUUAGUACCCGGAGGAAGAGAAAGAAAAAUCGAUUCCCUUAGUAGCGGCGAGCGAAACGGGAAGAGCCCAAACCAACAAGCUUGCUUGUUGGGGUUGUAGGACACUCUAUACGGAGUUACAAAGGACGACAUUAGACGAAUCAUCUGGAAAGAUGAAUCAAAGAAGGUAAUAAUCCUGUAGUCGAAAAUGUUGUCUCUCUUGAGUGGAUCCUGAGUACGACGGAGCACGUGAAAUUCCGUCGGAAUCUGGGAGGACCAUCUCCUAAGGCUAAAUACUCUCUAGUGACCGAUAGUGAACCAGUACCGUGAGGGAAAGGUGAAAAGCACCCCGGAAGGGGAGUGAAAUAGAACCUGAAACCGUGUGCUUACAAGUAGUCAGAGCCCGUUAAUGGGUGAUGGCGUGCCUUUUGUAGAAUGAACCGGCGAGUUACGAUUUGAUGCAAGGUUAAGCAGUAAAUGUGGAGCCGUAGCGAAAGCGAGUCUGAAUAGGGCGUUUAGUAUUUGGUCGUAGACCCGAAACCAGGUGAUCUACCCUUGGUCAGGUUGAAGUUCAGGUAACACUGAAUGGAGGACCGAACCGACUUACGUUGAAAAGUGAGCGGAUGAACUGAGGGUAGCGGAGAAAUUCCAAUCGAACCUGGAGAUAGCUGGUUCUCUCCGAAAUAGCUUUAGGGCUAGCCUCAAGUGAUGAUUAUUGGAGGUAGAGCACUGUUUGGACGAGGGGCCCCUCUCGGGUUACCGAAUUCAGACAAACUCCGAAUGCCAAUUAAUUUAACUUGGGAGUCAGAACAUGGGUGAUAAGGUCCGUGUUCGAAAGGGAAACAGCCCAGACCACCAGCUAAGGUCCCAAAAUAUAUGUUAAGUGGAAAAGGAUGUGGCGUUGCCCAGACAACUAGGAUGUUGGCUUAGAAGCAGCCAUCAUUUAAAGAGUGCGUAAUAGCUCACUAGUCGAGUGACACUGCGCCGAAAAUGUACCGGGGCUAAACAUAUUACCGAAGCUGUGGAUUGUCCUUUGGACAAUGGUAGGAGAGCGUUCUAAGGGCGUUGAAGCAUGAUCGUAAGGACAUGUGGAGCGCUUAGAAGUGAGAAUGCCGGUGUGAGUAGCGAAAGACGGGUGAGAAUCCCGUCCACCGAUUGACUAAGGUUUCCAGAGGAAGGCUCGUCCGCUCUGGGUUAGUCGGGUCCUAAGCUGAGGCCGACAGGCGUAGGCGAUGGAUAACAGGUUGAUAUUCCUGUACCACCUAUAAUCGUUUUAAUCGAUGGGGGGACGCAGUAGGAUAGGCGAAGCGUGCGAUUGGAUUGCACGUCUAAGCAGUAAGGCUGAGUAUUAGGCAAAUCCGGUACUCGUUAAGGCUAAGCUGUGAUGGGGAGAAGACAUUGUGUCUUCGAGUCGUUGAUUUCACACUGCCGAGAAAAGCCUCUAGAUAGAAAAUAGGUGCCCGUACCGCAAACCGACACAGGUAGUCAAGAUGAGAAUUCUAAGGUGAGCGAGCGAACUCUCGUUAAGGAACUCGGCAAAAUGACCCCGUAACUUCGGGAGAAGGGGUGCUCUUUAGGGUUAACGCCCAGAAGAGCCGCAGUGAAUAGGCCCAAGCGACUGUUUAUCAAAAACACAGGUCUCUGCUAAACCGUAAGGUGAUGUAUAGGGGCUGACGCCUGCCCGGUGCUGGAAGGUUAAGAGGAGUGGUUAGCUUCUGCGAAGCUACGAAUCGAAGCCCCAGUAAACGGCGGCCGUAACUAUAACGGUCCUAAGGUAGCGAAAUUCCUUGUCGGGUAAGUUCCGACCCGCACGAAAGGCGUAACGAUUUGGGCACUGUCUCAACGAGAGACUCGGUGAAAUCAUAGUACCUGUGAAGAUGCAGGUUACCCGCGACAGGACGGAAAGACCCCGUGGAGCUUUACUGUAGCCUGAUAUUGAAAUUCGGCACAGCUUGUACAGGAUAGGUAGGAGCCUUUGAAACGUGAGCGCUAGCUUACGUGGAGGCGCUGGUGGGAUACUACCCUAGCUGUGUUGGCUUUCUAACCCGCACCACUCAUCGUGGUGGGAGACAGUGUCAGGCGGGCAGUUUGACUGGGGCGGUCGCCUCCUAAAAGGUAACGGAGGCGCUCAAAGGUUCCCUCAGAAUGGUUGGAAAUCAUUCAUAGAGUGUAAAGGCAUAAGGGAGCUUGACUGCGAGACCUACAAGUCGAGCAGGGUCGAAAGACGGACUUAGUGAUCCGGUGGUUCCGCAUGGAAGGGCCAUCGCUCAACGGAUAAAAGCUACCCCGGGGAUAACAGGCUUAUCUCCCCCAAGAGUUCACAUCGACGGGGAGGUUUGGCACCUCGAUGUCGGCUCAUCGCAUCCUGGGGCUGUAGUCGGUCCCAAGGGUUGGGCUGUUCGCCCAUUAAAGCGGUACGCGAGCUGGGUUCAGAACGUCGUGAGACAGUUCGGUCCCUAUCCGUCGUGGGCGUAGGAAAUUUGAGAGGAGCUGUCCUUAGUACGAGAGGACCGGGAUGGACAUACCUCUGGUGUACCAGUUGUCGUGCCAACGGCAUAGCUGGGUAGCUAUGUGUGGACGGGAUAAGUGCUGAAAGCAUCUAAGCAUGAAGCCCCCCUCAAGAUGAGAUUUCCCAACUUCGGUUAUAAGAUCCCUCAAAGAUGAUGAGGUUAAUAGGUUCGAGGUGGAAGCAUGGUGACAUGUGGAGCUGACGAAUACUAAUCGAUCGAAGACUUAAUCAA
Molecule: ribosomal RNA, 2921 nt
Filed under: Staphylococcus aureus
Lineage: Bacteria; Bacillati; Bacillota; Bacilli; Caryophanales; Staphylococcaceae
Description: bacterial LSU rRNA
Rfam family: Bacterial large subunit ribosomal RNA
Source: RNAcentral